AAAAGCAAAGCAGACAACACUAUGCUUAUGAAUGUAAACAAGAAAAGCCAUGACAAAAAACCCAGACAACAAAUCCAUCACACAAUAAAUCUCAUUAUGAGCAUGUUACUGUGCAACAGGAUCAGUUUCAUCUUGUUGUAGUCAACCAGCCAACACAUAUUACAAAUUUCUGACUAAAGUUACAUCACACUCUGUGAGGCUGAAAAAUAUACAACACGCUGUCAGUCAGAGUAUAAUAAGCUAUGACAAUGCUACUGUGUAGCAUCAAUAACACCAUCAAUCAAGCUAAUAUGUUGUGCCUACAAAGACAUUGUUUUAUUUAUUUAUUUUUCUAGUUUAUCAUCAACAGAAAACCAUUUAAAUUAGUGGCUUUGAAUAAACCCUGGAGUUACAAUUACAUUGUUGUUUUAUUUGACUUUUUAGCAAAAACAAAACAUGAUUAUGCAUCAUAGGAAGGGUCUGUUUGAAAAUUGUGCUGUUAAAAUGGUUUAAUUUUAACAUAAUUUAGUUCUUAACCGGUUUUCAAAAUAAUAAUGGUGUGUUUAAGCAAUAAGGAAAUAGUGACACUCGUUAAGUAACUUCGCUUUUCUGGACACAGCUAACUUAUACUUUUUAAUGUACCACACAAAUAGAUGUGUUAAUGAAUGGUGACAGUAUUAUGAAUUUGAGUCAACCUGUAUUUCGUUGGUACACGGAGAGGGGAAGAGGGAGAGAGGACAGAGCAACCAGCCCGGUUAAAGUAACAAGCAUUUGGACUUGUAGCGAAGUGAAAAACAGCGGUGACCAAGUUUGAAACAGAGUUGCGAGAGGUUUAGAUAAACAGAAAAGCCACAUACGGGAAUGUUGUGCGACCAAUAAGCACCCAGCAGCUUUAUUUUGGCAGAGCUGACUGCGCAUGGCUACAGUCAAUAUGGAAACAUUACGGAGAGAAUUAGCCAACAAAUUGUGGGCACGUCAGAUUAGUACGCCACCGAGGCAACAGCCUGGGGAUUCAGAAACACAAUUACCACACAGGAAGCACAUGCCAUAACUUUACGACUGAGAGCCAGACAGUAAACAAACCGGGUAAGCGCCGCAUCACCACAAUGGCCAUACAGACAGCUUGCGUUAGCUUGCAGGCCCGAGCGGCCAUAUCUGAGGCAGCCAACGUUAGCCACCAUUAGCAUAGCUUUCCCACUGGAUAGCUGCAGCUAAACUUUUCCUUCAAAUCUGUGAUUUCCCGACCCUGGCAUGGUCAUUCGCGCUGACCCUGGCUUCGAGCGGAUACGAGCUAAAACGACUCCGGGUGCCCUGAAGCGAAAAACAGGAGCCAAUGGGAGCUCGAGAUCAUCGCUGUGACAUUCGGAAAGGGCUGAAAACUGAGCACCGUGGUCCCGCCCACCAUUGACUUUGUUCAGUGGGUUGCUGGAGGAGGAGGUCACAGACAUGGAAGCAGCCCAAACUUGGAUGGGAAAUGGUUUGUUUCCUCAUCACCUGAAUCUGUCAAAGAAUCCUUUUAAGUGUGUUUAGUAUGGCCUGCCAAAGAAACUGUUCUUGGAUGUAUAUUAGGUGCUGGAAAUGUUGCCAACAGGAAAUGUUUAAAUGAACAAUUUCACUCCAGGGUACAAAAAUAUUAUUGUAUAUCACUGUUUAAUCAGACAACAGAUGUGAUUAGAUCUCUAGCUUUGACUUUAGACUGGGUAUUAAUUCACACUGACAAGAAAAGUAGAAUUAUUCUUUUUUUUUGUCUAUUUCAAAAGGUAGAAGUCUGGUUAAUGUUAAAAUCCAAUUAUAUUGCUAACCCUGUAGAGCUUGCUUUGUCAAUACUGCAUUUAACUAUGGCCAUGCAAAUUUUAAAACAAAUUCACUUUGAAUUUGAUUACUUUUUAUCAUAGGAAUCAAAUUGCAUAGGAAUCAAAGUCACCUAAGAUAAAGUGCCAUUACUUUAAAAGUAAAAAAAAAAAAAAAAUACAGACACUAUUUCUAAACAUUUCUUCAUCCUGCAACAGACAAUACUGAACUUUCAGCAAUGAGGCUUUGGUUCCCUUUUAUUACAGUCUAAUACAUUAUUUGCAUUUCUGGUCCUGUAUGGCUAACACUAAAGGCAGACAGGAAGAGACAGAGGCCAAGGACACAAAUGAGGAAUUAGGCAAUUCAAACCAUUAGGCAAAUAGAGCAAUAAAAAUUCUAUCCUUGGAACUAGAAAGAACAAACAUUGACCUGUUGUAGGUACCUUGCCAAUAACAUGAACAAAACCACAAACUGUCAGAAGUAUUCAUUUAUAGGUCUUGUUAUUGUUUGUAGUGUGACCCAAUCCCUCCACUUUAAAAGAAAUCUACUUUAUACUAUUAAUUGUGUAACAGCAAUAAAGACUAUUCAUUCAUAAUCACA
This is a long non-coding RNA of Lates calcarifer (barramundi perch), 2370 nucleotides long. RefSeq lists it as uncharacterized. The record is from RefSeq and is a predicted model, not a curated record. Lineage: Eukaryota; Metazoa; Chordata; Actinopteri; Centropomidae. The transcript has 2 exons.